RNAcentral lists this ribosomal RNA (245 nucleotides) under uncultured bacterium. Its description in RNAcentral is "partial 16S ribosomal RNA". It matches the Rfam family "Bacterial small subunit ribosomal RNA", at positions 524 to 768 of the family's 1533-position model. The record is from RNAcentral.
GACGAACCGUGCGAACGUUGUUCGGAAUCACUGGGCUUAAAGGGCGCGUAGGCGGCUAACCAAGUCUGGGGUGAAAUCUUUCGGCUUAACCGGAAAAGUGCCUGGGAUACUGGUUAGCUGGAGGGAGGUAGGGGCGGCCGGAACUUCCGGUGGAGCGGUGAAAUGCGUUGAUAUCGGAAGGAACGCCGGUGGCGAAAGCGGGCCGCUGGACCUUUUCUGACGCUGAGGCGCGAAAGCCAGGGGAG